UACGUAGGGUGCGAGCGUUGUCCGGAAUUAUUGGGCGUAAAGAGCUCGUAGGCGGUUUGUCACGUCUGCUGUGAAAUCCCGAGGCUCAACCUCGGGCCUGCAGUGGGUACGGGCAGACUGGAGUGCGGUAGGGGAGAAUGGAAUUCCUGGUGUAGCGGUGGAAUGCGCAGAUAUCAGGAGGAACACCGAUGGCGAAGGCAGUUCUCUGGGCCGUAAUUGACGCUGAGGAGCGAAAGCGUGGGGAGCGAACAGG
Molecule: ribosomal RNA, 253 nt
Filed under: uncultured bacterium
Lineage: Bacteria
Description: partial 16S ribosomal RNA
Rfam family: Bacterial small subunit ribosomal RNA
Source: RNAcentral